AGGACUAACGCUGGCGGCGUGCCUAACACAUGCAAGUCGAACGAGAGUAGCAAUACUCUAGUGGCAGACGGGUGAGUAACACGUGGUCAACCUACCUCUAUGUGGGGGAUAACUAGCCGAAAGGUUAGCUAAUACCGCAUACGAUCGUCGAGCGGCAUCGCUUGACGAUGAAAGGAGCAAUCCGCAGAGAGACGGGACCGCGUCCCAUUAGCUAGUUGGUGGGGUAAUGGCCUACCAAGGCGACGAUGGGUAGCUGGCUUGAGAGAGCGACCAGCCACACUGGGACUGAGACACGGCCCAGACUCCUACGGGAGGCAGCAGUGAGGAAUUUUCCGCAAUGGGCGAAAGCCUGACGGAGCGACGCCGCGUGUGGGAAGAAGGCCUUCGGGUCGUAAACCACUGUCGAAGGGGAAGAUAUUGACGGUACCCUUGGAGGAAGCCCCGGCUAACUACGUGCUAGCAGCCGC
RNAcentral lists this ribosomal RNA (467 nucleotides) under uncultured bacterium. Its description in RNAcentral is "SSU rRNA". It matches the Rfam family "Bacterial small subunit ribosomal RNA", at positions 26 to 518 of the family's 1533-position model. The record is from RNAcentral.